RNAcentral lists this ribosomal RNA (253 nucleotides) under uncultured bacterium. Its description in RNAcentral is "partial 16S ribosomal RNA". It matches the Rfam family "Bacterial small subunit ribosomal RNA", at positions 524 to 776 of the family's 1533-position model. The record is from RNAcentral.
UACAGAGGUCCCAAGCGUUGUUCGGAUUCAUUGGGCGUAAAGGGUGCGUAGGUGGCGCCAUAAGUCAGGUGUGAAAUUUCGGAGCUUAACUCCGAAACUGCAUUUGAUACUGUGGUGCUUGAGGACUGGAGAGGAGACUGGAAUUUACGGUGUAGCAGUGAAAUGCGUAGAGAUCGUAAGGAAGACCAGUGGCGAAGGCGGGUCUCUGGACAGUUCCUGACGCUGAGGCACGAAGGUCAGGGGAGCAAACGGG